CUCAUAACGACUAUAUUUUUUAUUCUUAUUCUUAUAAGAAUGAAAAUUAAACAAGGCUAAAUAGAAAAAAGAGGAAACAUAAAUAAAUGAGGGUAAAAUGGUACACCAAACUAUUGUUACCGCAAUGGGUGCAAUCCUCAAAAUUGGAGAAAACAUGGAGCAUAAUUUCCUUCAAUUCGACCUAGCUCCCCGACAAAUCGAACCAGAUGCAACGCACAAGACUCCAGAUUAUUUUUUCUUAGCUCAAUACCUUGGUCCGCUGUUUGUAGUCCUCCCUGAUUGCAGUUAUGUUACUGUAGAUGUGUCUUAAGAGAUAAAUUUUGUUAUUUUGAGGAUUAUUUUCUACAUUCUUUCUUUCUGAGUUUGCUCUUCUUCUACUACUGCUGACUUUGAUUAUGUGCUCAAAAUAUUUUCCAGAGAUGCGAAGAAGGCAUGAGUCUCUUGGCUUGUAUAUUUUUUCCCAAAAGGGGGAAGAAGGUAUGACAUGAUAUAAAUGUAUUCUGUAAUUUACAAUUUAUGGGAGGAAAGCUUAUUUGAGUACCAUAACUUAUUUUUCUUUUUUAACUUAGUGGAAGCACUGGCAAAUAAAUAAAUAUUUUGGACUUGACAUUGGGAUGAAGUUUCUGCCAAAUUUGAGAACUUUUGGUAAGGGCAAGAAUUUAGUUGCGUUGCGCAGGCAGUUCUCAAUUGAGCAAUAUGCCUGAAUUUUUUUCCCCCACUGAUUUUCAUGUUUAGGGACAUGGGUUUCUUGAUUUGGUUUGGAUUUUGAUAUGCUGUGAUUAUUUUUGGUAUAUGAUGGUUUUUUCGUCUACUCUGAGAGGAGUGCCGGGGGCCAGAAGAAUGUAACCGUUGGUGGUGGUGGUGGUGGUGAUUGGGAUGGAUUGGGUGGAUUUGGGAAGAAGAAGGUACAGAUUUUCCAUUUCUUUUGUUUUUUAAUAUGGUAAAUAUGAAAGUACCGUUUUAUCCUCAUUGAAAUUGAUUAUAAUGUGCUCAAAGUUAAAAUUCUUGGUCAAUUGACUGAAUUUGGAUGAAAACUGUUUAGAAGGGCUUCAUCUGCAACGUUUGAAAAUGUUAGAGGUGACGAUCGCAACAAAUUAAAAGUUUGGAAAAAAUUUGUUUGUGUUUUAAAGGUUUGAAACAUUUGCUACAAUUAUCCCUUAAUUUAGAAAUAUUUUUUUUUUUUUUUUUUUUUUUUUUUUUUUAUUACACAAGGUGUCCGGGCUUGCGUCCGACUAGAUCCUUGUCCCUGAACCUCCGGCCCCUCAGCAGCUCAGGGAGGUAAAUCGCAGGAUGUGCCCUUGUUGGCUCCCAGGUUCCCACAACUCAUUUGGACUCCUUCCGCAAAGAGAGCUCUCCUCGCUGGGCGUUUGUUCAACCAAAUGGCUUCCCCUCCAUUUUAGCACCCAGUGUUAACUCCAGGAAUCGAACUCUCCACCCUUGCUUCCAGCGUCCCAACGAAGUGAUUGUUCCACCAACUCGGAUGUGCCCUGGGGGGCUUAAUUUAGAAAUAUUACGUGUACGUUAGGUGGGGCUACAAGCAAAAGCCAAGGUUGUGGGAUUCCUAUCCGCCAUUGAAAUUCGAGAAAUUGUUUUUGAUGACAUCUAAUUUUUUCUACUUUAUACUUUUAAAAUUAUUAUGUAUUUUGCAUUUGAAAAUGUUUCCACCAUUAAAUUAUGCCUUCCUG
Molecule: long non-coding RNA, 1685 nt
Filed under: Olea europaea subsp. europaea
Lineage: Eukaryota; Viridiplantae; Streptophyta; Magnoliopsida; Lamiales; Oleaceae
Source: RNAcentral